Molecule: long non-coding RNA, 1134 nt
Filed under: Sarcophilus harrisii (Tasmanian devil)
Lineage: Eukaryota; Metazoa; Chordata; Mammalia; Dasyuromorphia; Dasyuridae
Description: lncRNA (ENSSHAG00000024696.1)
Source: RNAcentral
GGGGGGGGAAGGCGGGGACUCGCGCUGCGGACACCGUUAGGCGGAACUCCCCUUCUGCCUCCUGGCCUACAGAACUUGUGAAAGCAGCUCCCCAUCAGCCGGGACCCCCGUCUUAAAGGCAGAAAGUGAUGCUCGGGGGCUAGGCCCGGCUCUGGGGGAGGGGAGGCCGCCGGGACACUUGCCUUCCGGUCCCGCUGCUGCGGCUGUCGCCGGGCCCCACACCUUCCAGUUCCAUGGGGUCAGAGAUGUAAAGCCGGGCCGGAUCCCGGGACUGACUCACUUAGAGGCCCCUCCCGCAUUUUACAGAGAUGGAAACUGAGGAAAAGCUCCAUCGCCCCUGGAUCUGAAAUCCCGCCAAACGCCUAUUUCCUUUUCCGCCCAACCAGGGGAAUGGACCGCAUGGUCUCUAAGGUCCCCCCGGGGUUCUGCCAUUCUCUGUUCCAAAGCCACAAAGCCCCGCGCUAACAUUCUGUGUUCCGAGGAUCCCUCCCGGCUCCAGGGUUCUCUGUUCCAAGACCCUUUCCAGCUCCCUGAUUCUCUGUUCUGCGUUCUGGGGUCACCUAAAACGCCGGCGUUCCGUGUUCCGAGGCCCCCAGCGUGUUCGCACGCUUCCAUUCCAUGGCUUGCUUUCGGCUGGUUCUUUUUGGAACGCGGCCCUUCCACCACCAAUGGGUGCGCUUCCUGUGGCCUGGGGUUUAGCAGCAGGUCAGGGAGAGUUUAUUAAGCCCCUACUAUGCGCCAGACUCUGAGCGCAAACAUCCCAUUUGCCUUCAAGUCCCUCACGAGCGAACGGGAGAGGUCGUGUCCACAAAUCAUGUACAAACAGGAGAUAUUACAGGCAUAGAGGUGAUCCUGAGUUCCUCAGAAUUAUGCUAUGGGAGGAAAAGCUCUAACCAGCCUGAAAGACUUCAUGUAGUCCUGGCCUAGAUUCCCAGGUUUGGAAGGCCUGGUAUGGCCACACGAGCAAUGGCCACAUGCCUCAGCAGGCAUAGCAGAUCACAGGAUCCUUGAUGGAGAGCUGGACAGAACAUCAUCAAUUCCAAGGACCUCAUUGUACGGAGGAGAAAAUUAAAGCCCAGGGAGAUUAAAGGACUUCCCUAAAUUCACAUAGAGAAUAAAGAAUUGAACCCAGUU